Molecule: long non-coding RNA, 7194 nt
Filed under: Gossypium raimondii (Peruvian cotton)
Lineage: Eukaryota; Viridiplantae; Streptophyta; Magnoliopsida; Malvales; Malvaceae
Description: long non-coding RNA (GRAI_LNC005309)
Source: RNAcentral
CGGUUGUGCCAAAUCUGUUAAAAGAUCGAGAAGCAGUAAUAAAAGCACUAUAAGUGUAGAAACCAUUGCCAGGACAACGUGAAUCAUUUAGAUAUUUAAGCAUAUUACUAAAGAGGUGUUGUGUGAUAAUGCUGCCAAUAUCAUUGCCACUACACUGGCUCUGGCAGCCAGUUCUGCACACUUCUGCUACAAGAAUACUGCUAGACUACUUAGCGUCAAAGAGCCUACAACUUUUUCGUAUCCAUUGAUACUUGGUGUGGGUUUUCAGUUUUGGAUUGAACAAGUGCUAGAGGGUAUAUAUCCAUUUAAUGUAUAAAUUUUGUAAUUUCAUGAAUUAUACUUUCCGGCUGAAUUAAAAAAUAAAAUGAAGAAAAUGUUCCAGCUCCCGAAUCUAUCCAAUCUGAUCUGUGGACAAAUAUGAUUAUUUUAUUUCAUCAUUUAGUCCAUUAAAAUAAUUUUGUUAGAUUUUCAAAAUAGAUUUGACUAAAUAACAUAGAAAAGUAAUGCUGAUUGCAGGCAAAAUACUAUAAAAAGCCUUUUUUUUAAAUUUACCGAAAUGAGCCCGGUAUUUUAUUCUUUACCGGAAUGGCCCUUUUUCCUCGAAAUCAUAUCCACGUCAGCGCGAUGUCAGGGGACGUGGCAAAAAAUCGCGUCCCUGAGGGCGCGCUUUGCUUACUUGGACGAAAUUUGCUCCCUCAAGGGCACGUUUUGUUGCCACGUAAGCGCUCCAUUGGAAAAGCGUUUUGCCCGCGCGUGAACAGUAGCAACGACUACUUUUUUGACCGUUGGUGACCCCCCAACGGUAAAAAAAACUAUAAACCCCCCCACCUUUAUUUUUUUCACAACUAAAUCCUUUCUCUCAAUUUUUCUCUAAUAUUCUCUCAAAUUCCUCUCAAAUUCCUCUUAAUUUCCUCUCAAAUUCCUCUCAAAUUCCUCUUAAUUUCCUCUCAAAUUCCUCUCAAAUUUCUAUUUAAAAGAUCUUUAAAAUUUUAAUUAUUUUUAAAAUAGUUUUAAAAUUUAUUUUUUUGAAUUUUUUUAAAUCGUAAAAAUUUGUACCAAUUUAGCAAUAGUCGGAGAAUUGAUUCGUAUUAAUGACAAGCAUAUAUCUGUAGAACAAAUGAAUAUGGUAAGUGUUAAAUUUAAUUUUUAAAUAUUAUUUAAGAUUUUUUUAUUUAUGCAAUUUUAAAUAAUUAUUAUUUUAUUAUUUAAUUAUUUGUUAUAAAAGUCUGUAGAUCGGAUAUUCCAAUUUUAUAUCCGCAAUAUGCAUGGUCCCCCAUCACCAUUGGUAGAGAAUUACCUGCGGGAGACAGGUUUUUGGCACGUGGCGACGGUAGGCCGGGGAUGCAAGUUGGACCCGAAACUCAUCAGUGCGUUGAUUGAGAGGUGGAGACCUGAGACGCAUACAUUCCAUCUUCCAUGUGGAGAGUGCACUAUCACUUUGGAAGAUGUCAAAUUACAAUUAGGGUUGCCAGUGGAUGGGUACGCAGUCACUGGGUCCUGUUCAAUCUGGUGAUUGGGGAGCGGUAUGCUAUGAGCUGUUGGGCGCUAUUCUGGAGAAUAUUAACGGAGGUCGAAUCGAGAUGGGCUAGUUACGAGACACAUUCCCAAAGAUGAUGAUUCAACCGAAAUAGAAAGAAUCUGACAUGCUCGGACAUACAUUUUUCAAACAAUUAGAGGUUAUCUGAUGCCGGACUUGUUAAAAAACCUCGUGCAUCUAAGAUGGCUACUGAAACUCGUUGAUUUUCAAGCAGCUGGUGAAUUUAGCUGGGGGUUUACCGUGUUGGCAACAUUGUAUUGGGAGAUGUGUGGGGUGACGUGACCGAAUAAAGUGAAAAUCGAAGGUUGCUUGUCACUACUGCAGUCAUGGGCACGGUUUCGCUUUUUAUUUUUACGUUAUCAAGUGGACCACCCGUAUACAUUCUCACUUAUAACAAGGUAAAUUUUGUAUUAGAUUUUAUAAUUAUUACGUAGAUUUAAAAUAUAAUCGAAUGCUAAAAAUUUAUUUAAUUAGGUGGAACCAUCCAACAAAUUGUGCUCGAUUACCUACUUCUUUUAAAGAUAUACGGCUUCUAUUGGACCAACAGUUGGAAGCACAAGUAAGUAUUAAAUAAAAUAGAGAUUUUCAUAAUGAGAUAGUUGAUUGGUAUUUAGUAUUUAGUACAUAACUAAUAUUUCUAUCAUGGUCAUAUAGUUUCAAUGGACACCAUACGAGGAUCCGGUAAUUCGGGCAGUAAUUCCGGAUGAGUACUUCCAAAAUCCAAACGCUUGGCAUGCGAAAGUCCCAUUGGUCAACUUUGUGACUGUAAAGAUGCACCAGUUGGACAGAGUAUUGCGGCAAUUUGGAUUCUAACAAUCUAUUCCCGUGGCACCUGAGGUGUUGGAUGAUCAUCACAAAAUCGACCUACGGCAAUUACAUAUGGAUUGAUCGAGAUUCUGGUCAUACUACAUCCAAAUGUGAGAAGAUCGAUAUGACUAUAUACCUACUCGGUAACCGAUCAUCGUUCUAGAUUUAGCGUGCGUGCCAGAAUAUAUGCUAUGAUUUUGGAUCUAUGGGAAGCCGUAUUUAUAGUCACCAGAGGAAAGGCAGCAGCAAUUGCGUGUCCAAAGGGAACGACGUGACCCUUUAAAUUCAAGAAGAAGUGACGACGACGCAGGCCCAUCAACGAGGCCCAAAAAUUCACCUGGCCCAUCAUCAGCACCCAUAACUUCAUCAGGCCCAGCAAUAGCACUGACACAGUCACUCGACCCAGCAGUUCAACCGACGAUACCCAUGGCAUAACCUUUUCAGAUGAUGCCAGGUGUGUAUCCUAGCCCUUAUAUAUGUCCUAACCCUUAUAUAUUUCCUUUUUCUAGUCCCAUGACAGGUUAGAGUCAAUGGCCCGGUUUAUUUCCAUUUUUGAUUACACCGAGUGGACAGCCGAUGUUUAGGCCAUCGUCGCAUGAGGGAUCGUAAGAGGGGCCGUCGGGGAGCUCUUCUUUUUACCAAACCUUAUUACUGUAUGGAUUUCAAACACCUUAGUCGUUGGUGAUGCAAACACCUCUACAUUCACUAUUCUAUCAAAGUGGAUCAUUGUCCUAACACCGACAACCAGAUCCCCUACCGGAUGAACCAGAAUCCACGUCGGAGCAACAACAACCCCCGCUGGAAGUUAGACAAAAAAGAAAUCUAGCGCGUAACCGUCGACGACCGCCAUGUGGCACUGAAUUCAACGGGCACGGAGAUUGAAUUUUAUUUUAAUAUUUUUGUACAAAAUAGUUUCUAUUAAUGUAAUAAAAUAUAAAAUAGUUUAUUUUGAAUAUUUUGAUAUUAUUUCAUUUAAUAAAAUAUAAAAUAAUUUUGAAUAAAGUGAUUGUAAUUUACUUUAAUAUUUUUAAUGAAAUAAAUUUAAAAUAAAAUAAGUAAAUAUUUUGAAUAUUUGUGCCAAUUUUUUAUUUCAAAAAAAUAUAAAUAAUACAAAGUUGUUUACAAUGACGUUCAACUAUUGCGAUUUGGGCAUGAUCGACUUGUAUGGCCUGGAUUCCUACACCAUCCACACAACUUCUAUUGACUGGCUAUUUCUCAGAUAUCCCCUCACUGGUGGACGUCGUAGGGAGUACAUCAUCCCUUCUUUUGGGCAUUUCAUAAUGUCUCCAAUUGGAUGUAGAUUGCCAACCACUAGAACUUGAUGCUGUUUCCCAGUACAUAUUUCUAGCAUCAAACAUCGAGCCAUCGACGUACAUGUCCCAUCCACCAAUAGAGUGUCUUGCAGGGGAUGUGCAUUCCACACCGCUACUAAACACGGGCUGUUCCGUGUUUUGUAACCCGCUAACCGAGUGUCGGUCAGGGGUCGUGUAUACUUCUCGAACACCAGUCGCAAGUACAUCAUUUGGCGAUGUAAAUUGUACAUAUAACUCAAUAUAAGGUGCUCCACUAGCAAGAUGAGUCUACACCAUUGCCUCCAAGCUACGAGCACCUUUUAUGUCGAACGAGUCAUAUGUCACAGGAUCAACAGAAGAACAAAAUCGAUACAUAAUAAACAGAACUUUCAUUGGCGUUGUUCCAAAAAUUUUACGCCUAAUCUUUUACGAAGUUCUGUCAAAUCUAUGUUCUGGUUAAAAACCGGUCGCAUUGUAUUCUCCGAUAAAAAAAUAACACCGUUCUCGGUGUGGCAAAUCUCACCAUCAUAGUAAAUAACAUCACUAAGACGUUCACUCAUCUUUAAUUUCUAACCUUCUUAGCCUCUAUAAAUUGUUUUUGCUGUAACUUAUGCAAUCUGAGAAUAUUUUUUUGCCUCAUUUAUAACCUCAGCCCAAACAUGAUACUGUAGCAAAAACGUGUCCACGUGGGAGCGAUUUUAGUAUUUCUUCUCAUAAAGCAUCCUGCUUAAAGCAUUUUACACACUAUUUGCUCAGAAACGUCAACUCGAAAUUAUUUUUUCAGGACCUAUUGUAGCAAAAGCGCGUCCACGUGGGAGCGAUUUCAGAAAUUCUUCUAAUAAAGCAUCCUACUUGAAGUGGUUUUUAUACUAUUUGCUCAGAAACGUCAACUCGGAAUUAUUUUUUCAGGACCUACUGUAGCAAAAGCGCGUCCACGUGGGAGCGAUUUCCUUAAUAAAUUUUUAAUUUAAUUACUCACGUAACCCUAAACCCAAAUUUAAUUAAUUUUUUCUUAAAAACCCAUAAACACGAAACCUAAUCCAAUUUUUAAAAAAAUAUAAUUAAUUUAAUUAAGAAAUCCUAAACCAUAAUCCUUUAUUUGUUUAAUUUUCUCCAAAACCUUAAAAAUUUUAAAAACCCUAAACCCUAACCCUAACCGUAACUCUAACCCUAACCCUAAAAACCUAAAACCUAACGUGGAGAAAUGGGCAAAACGAGUCCCCAAGGGAGCGCUUAUGUGGCAACAAAACGCGCCCUUGAGGGAGCGAUUGCCGUCUACUUAAGCAAAGUGCGCCCUUAGGGACACAAUUUCGGGGAAAAGGGCCAUUCCGGUAAAUAAUAAAAUAAAUGGCCCAUUUCGGUAAAUUUAAAAAAAGGGCUUUUAAUGGUGUUUUGCCCGCUGAUUGCGGCGAAAUUACUCCUUUAAUUUUUUUUAUUAAUUUUGUCACUGUUAUUAGAAAAGUAUUAAUAUUUUUUUCAUCUAAUAUCUAAGAUAUUCUGUUGAAAAAAUUACAAAAUAAAAAAAUAUUCUUUUAAUUCUUUUAAAGAUUACAAAAUUUGGGUAAACUACAAAAAAAGUCACUUUUGUUUGCCUCAAGUUACAUUUUAGUCACUUAUGUUUGAAAUCUUACGUUUUGGUCACUUAUGUUAUUAUUUUGUUACGAAGUGAUCACUCUUCCGUUAAGUUCUGUUAUAUCCCUAACGGUAAUCCUACGUGGCAGCCCAACUAGAUUUUAAGUGUCAACUUGAAUUUCCUAAUAGAAUGAUGAUAGAUUUUUAAUUAAAUAAAUUUAAUUAAUUAAAAAUUUUAAACCCUAAAACUUAAUUAAAAAACUGUUCAUCUCCCCCUUUUUUUAGUUUUCUUUUUCAGUUGACUAAGAAAACAGUCAUGUCUUUGAGCAGGCCUCAGUAAUCAUCAAUAGCUUGACUCCAUAUAUUUAAGAACAUAAAGCUUCUGCCUUUUUUCUGUCACAUAAAAAAGAUAAAAGGAAAAAGAAGGAAAACCCCACUCCAAAUUUCUCUGCAUUUUUCCAAGACUCGAUGAAGAUUGGCAAUCAUAUAACAGAGUAAGAUUGGUAUUCUGAGAACUGGGAACAAAUGACUCAGAAUUUAGGAUCGAAUCUUGAAUUGGAAUUUGAGGACGACAAGAGCCAUUGUUGAUGAAGUCCUCCCUCGCAAUUCUUAGAAUCUGACUUUCAUGAUGAAUGUCCAAUACCUUAUACUUAAUACCAACAAUUUCAAUCUUAGUAGUAUUAGUAAAAUCGUCACAGCGAAGCUCCAAAUUAGGAUGUUCACAUUCUGGUUCUCGAUCACCUCCGGAGAAAGGAUAUCCAAUGGAGAUAUUCCCACAUUUGAACACUGCAUCACGACACUUCUCGUACAAUUGACUAGGACUGGGUGGUGAAACAAGAAAUGCAAGAUUAAGCAAAACAGAAGAAGAGGUAGAAAGAAAUAGAAUCCAAUUUCUUUUUCAAAAAUUUUCAGAGAAGAGAUAUAAGAAAGGGUUGAUUGCUAAUGUCACCUAUCGUGGUGACAUCAACAAUCACCACUACCUUGAGAUCGUCGGUUCGUAUAAGACUUUAUGUUGAAAUUGACAUGCAUUUAUUAUCUAUGUUGGGAUCGUCCGCUUGUAUGAAGCCUUUGGUUAUAGCAAUCCAAGUUGCUCCUGUAGCUUACACCUAAUAUGUCACAGUACCUUCGAUAGAAACCAAUCCUGUCCGCCACUCUGUCAUCAGGACCAUGACCGCACUCUAGCUCACCAUUGAUUAUGUUACUGAUGACUCCAUAGCCAGGGAGCCAACCUGCAUCCCUUUCUGCAGCAGACGGUGUCCAUUGCCCAACAAUUACGUUAUGGCUUGAUGGUUUGUUUCCUUACGGGGUCAUCCAAAACCAAAUGGCCGUCUUGAAAGAUAUAGUCGGGUUGGUGGCUACGAGGUCUGAAUUAUUUAUUAGGUCUACUCCAAUGUCUCUUCUAGCUGGCCCAUGAUGAAGUUGCUGAGGAAAUUAAAUUGUGAAAGUUGUGUUGAGUCAGUUAACAACAUCAUGAACUAGUACUUCAUUAGUCAAGCGACUGAGAAACUUACUAAGCUAAUUGGAAGGGUCCUCGUCCAUAAUACAAUCUUCCACGAGGACACGGCUAGACACCAGGAAGACAAUAUGCUUGGUGGUUGUUUUGUUGCCUUAUAAAGCAAUAUCCCUAUGCAUAUGGGCCAUCUGGUGCACUUGGCCAUCCUCCUGUUGUUUCAUGAGAGGUUUGAGCUAAGAAAGCUGCGAGUUCCCUCUUUCUGGUUGUAAGAUCUCCGGUUGUGCCAAAUCCGUUAAAGAUCAAGCAGCGAUAAUGAAAGCACUAUAAGUGUAGAAACCAUUUCCAGGACAACGUGAAUAAUUUAGAUAUUUAAGCAUAUUAUUAAUGAGGUGUUGAGUGAUAAUGCUGCCAAUAUCAUUGCCACUACACUGGCUCUGGCAGCUAGUUCUGCAGUAGUCAGACGUGCUGCCACACAUCCCAAAUUGACUGCAACACAGUCCAUUUGGACAUAGAGCACCUCCUGCUUGUCUUCC